UCAUACAUAGAUUUUCAUCCCCCCCGCCCCAUUAUCUUGUCUUGGAACCGCCCCUGUCAGUAACAAUAUUAAAAGAAUUGAUACCGGGAAUGUCACUGUUGUAAGUUGGAAAUUGGAAGAUGUAAUACAUAAAGUUAAUUAAUAUCUGUAACAUGGUCGGACCGUAGUAAAAAAUUGGUCUCUGCGAUCACUGGUAAAGGCCCAAAAAUUACACAAAUAUCAUUAUACAGCAUAUAUUUCUCAAUAACAAUAGCUUAGACAAUCAUCAUCAUUUAGAUUUUGAAUGGAGCGAAGAAAGUUAUGGUUUACAAAGAUUUUUUUUUUUUUAUAUGUACUUUUUCAUAAUGUAUAUAUUGUUAACAAAACAUCACUAUAAAUAAAAAGUCCGCGUAACGAAAACUUGCCGGUGAAUGGCGCGACUCUAGCGGCAAUUUGCAAUCUGUUCGGUGGUCAUCAUAAAUGUAAAACUAAUUGCCCUGUUUUUUUUACAUUUAUUUGUUCACGUGGUAUAUUAUAUUAAUUUAUUAUUAUACGAAUCAUGAAAGAAAUUGUUUAAAAAAUGAUCAGUAUAAACAUUAUUUCAAUGCAUAAUAUAUUAUAUAUAAAAUUUAUUGAUUGUUAAUAAUAAUUGCAAUAAAUUUAUUCAAACACAAGAAAAAAUACACAAAUAUUCACGAAACCGAUUUAAAAAACAUAAUGUACAACACACC
Molecule: non-coding RNA, 710 nt
Organism: Cinara cedri
Lineage: Eukaryota; Metazoa; Arthropoda; Insecta; Hemiptera; Aphididae
Source: the annotation of a GenBank genome assembly